This 82-nucleotide transfer RNA is filed under the name Leucobacter chromiisoli. It matches the Rfam family "tRNA". From Rfam's summary of the family: Transfer RNA (tRNA) molecules are approximately 80 nucleotides in length. Lineage: Bacteria; Bacillati; Actinomycetota; Actinomycetes; Micrococcales; Microbacteriaceae. The record is from Rfam by way of RNAcentral.
GCGCGAGUGGCGGAAUUGGCAGACGCGCUGGAUUUAGGUUCCAGUACUUUCGAGUGUGGGGGUUCGAGUCCCCCCUCGCGCA